RNAcentral lists this long non-coding RNA (415 nucleotides) under Canis lupus familiaris (dog). RNAcentral's name for it is "lncRNA (ENSCAFG00000055203.1)". Lineage: Eukaryota; Metazoa; Chordata; Mammalia; Carnivora; Canidae. The record is from RNAcentral.
AGGGGAGGGAGGGGCCCAGAGGACUGAAAUCCUGUGUAGUUUUUCUCUGUCUUUCCUAAGAUGACUGUCCUCCUUCCUUCUGAGUCUAGUCCAGAUACAGUGAAAUGAAGGAUCUGUGAAGUAUCCAAAGAGAACUGUCUACACAGCAGAUUCCUGCAGGGAGAGGUGGCCAUGCUGUGGAAGUGUGUUAUUAUUGUUCUUAUGCUACUCUGGUGAACCUGGAUGGACCCAUGGAUUCUUUGGGUAGUCAAGGUUCUUAUGUACAUUCUUAAUUACUGUAAUCAGGUCUUGGCACAAGUUAAACCAGUCAGCAAAGGACAUUAAUGGAGCAUCAGCUAAACGCAGGUCUCUGCCAUAGGUUCUGAGGUGUGGGGGUUAAGGAUACAUAUGGGAUGAUCUUGCAAUGGAAACUGCA